Spinacia oleracea (spinach) is the source of this 1148-nucleotide long non-coding RNA. RefSeq lists it as uncharacterized. Lineage: Eukaryota; Viridiplantae; Streptophyta; Magnoliopsida; Caryophyllales; Amaranthaceae. The record is from RefSeq and is a predicted model, not a curated record. The transcript has 3 exons.
AUGAGAAAAUUUAGCUGCUCCCGUUUCUCUCUCCUCGUGCUUCUCUCUCCUCCAUUUUCGCUCGCUCUCCUUCGUGAUUCUCUCUCCUCACUGCUACGGUGCUACCUCUCCUAACCCUGCUGCAACCACCGUGCCGGCACCAUCUCCACGCUUAAAAAUCGAUGUAUUCGAAAAUUAUGGACGGUAAAUUAGCCUUUUCAUAUUUAUAUGAGUUUAGGGUUUCUGUUGAGGCGAUUUUUGUAUAAGUUUUUUUCUUAAUUCUUGACUUACAGUUUUCCUUGGUAGAGAAAUAUUUGUUGAACGAUGACAAAAUCCAGUUACAUUCGACGGAAUAUGGUUUUCUAACUUUGGUUUGGCGCUAGAUCUUGUUCGUCCAUAUCAAUGGAUUUAUCAUCUUCUACAGUGUAGGUGGGCUAGCCCAAGUUAAGUCUGCAAUGUUGACAACAACAGAUGUAACUGACCACUAUGGGAAGCCAAUCAUGGAUGGAAAUACUCUGUCAGACCAUUUUGCAAUCGGUUCUGGACAUAGCAACCUGCUAAAGCGUUUGUACCUGGAUUAGUAUAUGAUAUCAGACCGGCGGACUACACCACACAUCUGUGCAGUCUUUGGAUACACAAGGUCUGAAACAUGAUACCGAUUUACUGUCAAAGCCGUAUACUCUUUAAGCUUGACUUAUCUGCCUCUAGAUUGCUACAAUGAUCCAUAUGGUCGUACAAUAUCCAAGCUUGUAGAAUAACCACCUUCUGAUGUCUUUACUGUAAAGUAACCACGCCCUUUCAUGUCAUCGUAGAAGGGCAUGUAAGAUUGGCAGUCAUGAUCUCAGGUCUACCUUGCUGCUGUUUUUUUGUCAACUUGGACCAGUGUUGACUUCUGGCCUUGUUGGUUCUUAUGCCGUUGAUGUUGGUCUGUUGGUGCUGUAAGUUUUCUGGUCAAGUGAUGCAUAUUAGCUUAAGUUAUCGAAUUAUUUUGAUUUACUUCUUCUUUUUGGUUUUUUCUUCGUUGAUUCUAUUUAAAAAACUAGCCUACUAGCUCAAUAGGUAGAGCAUUAUGAAAAUGCACAAAAGAUGUGGGUUUGAAUCCCACGUAGGUUAAUCUUUACUUUGUGUAUUGUUUUAUUCACUUUUGGGUUAAUGUUUUUUACUUCUUA